UUUCUUUUGGCAGCACAUAUCCUAAAACUGAAAUGAUGGAGAAGAUUAGCACAGUUCCUAUGUAAGGACAUCACAACAUUUAUGAAGAGUUCCAUGUAUGU
RNAcentral lists this small nuclear RNA (101 nucleotides) under Peromyscus maniculatus bairdii (prairie deer mouse). The record is from RNAcentral. Lineage: Eukaryota; Metazoa; Chordata; Mammalia; Rodentia; Cricetidae.